CGUGUAGGCGGUUUUUUAAGUCAGAUGUGAAAGUUCGGGGCUCAACCCCGGAAUUGCAUUUGAAACUGGAGAACUUGAGUACUGGAGAGGUAAGUGGAAUUCCUAGUGUAGCGGUGAAAUGCGUAGAUAUUAGGAGGAACACCAGUGGCGAAGGCGACUUACUGGACAGAUACUGACGCUGAGGCGCGAAAGCGUGGGGAGCGAACA
This 207-nucleotide ribosomal RNA is filed under the name uncultured bacterium. Its description in RNAcentral is "partial 16S ribosomal RNA". It matches the Rfam family "Bacterial small subunit ribosomal RNA", at positions 568 to 774 of the family's 1533-position model. The record is from RNAcentral.